This 240-nucleotide ribosomal RNA is filed under the name uncultured bacterium. RNAcentral describes it as "partial 16S ribosomal RNA". It matches the Rfam family "Bacterial small subunit ribosomal RNA", at positions 15 to 257 of the family's 1533-position model. The record is from RNAcentral.
GAUCCUGGCUCAGAUUGAACGCUGGCGGCAGGCUUAACACAUGCAAGUCGAGCGGAGAUGAGGUGCUUGCACCUUAUCUUAGCGGCGGACGGGUGAGUAAUGCUUAGGAAUCUGCCUAUUAGUGGGGGACAACAUUCCGAAAGGAAUGCUAAUACCGCAUACGUCCUAAGGGAGAAAGCAGGGGAUCUUCGGACCUUGCGCUAAUAGAUGAGCCUAAGUCGGAUUAGCUAGUUGGUGGGG